AGCAGUAAGGAAUAUUGCGCAAUGGGCGAAACUGGACGCAGCGACGCCGCGUGGGGGAUGAAGGUCUUCGGAUUGUAAACCCCUUUCGGGAGGGAAGAUGGGAUGGGUAACCAUUCGGACGGUACCUCCAGAAGCAGCCACGGCUAACUUCGUGCCAGCAGCCGCGGUAAUACGAAGGUGGCAAGCGUUGUUCGGAUUUACUGGGCGUACAGGGAGCGUAGGCGGUUCGGUAAGCCCUCCGUGAAAUCUCCAGGCUUAACCUGGAAAGUGCAGAGGGGACUGCUGGGCUAGAGGAUGGGAGAGGAGCGCGGAAUUCCCGGUGUAGCGGUGAAAUGCGUAGAGAUCGGGAGGAAGGCCGGUGGCGAAGGCGGCGCUCUGGAACAUUUCUGACGCUGAGGCUCGAAAGCGUGGGGAGCAAACAGGAUUAGAUACCCUGGUAGUCCACGCCUUAAACGAUGGAUACUAAGUGUCGGCGGGUUACCGCGGGUGCCGCAGCUAACGCAGUAAGUAUCCCGCCUGGGAAGUACGGCCGCAAGUUGAAACUCAAAGGAAUUGACGG
RNAcentral lists this ribosomal RNA (559 nucleotides) under uncultured bacterium. RNAcentral describes it as "bacterial SSU rRNA". It matches the Rfam family "Bacterial small subunit ribosomal RNA", at positions 350 to 916 of the family's 1533-position model. The record is from RNAcentral.